Molecule: long non-coding RNA, 1794 nt
Organism: Carassius gibelio (silver crucian carp)
Lineage: Eukaryota; Metazoa; Chordata; Actinopteri; Cypriniformes; Cyprinidae
Exons: 4
Source: RefSeq, a predicted model, not a curated record
CCAACCCGUUCUCAUCAGUCUGCGUAUAAAUAACACGACUUUACACUUUCUAUUUGCGUGUAAUGCAUACGCCAAAUGCCAUUUUUGCGUGCAUAUGAUACGCCAAUCCUUCCCAUUAAUUUCGGUGGAGAGCAGAUGCGUCCAAAUAACACGCAUCAUCUUCAGCGGCAGUGACGUCACUAGCGAGGCUCGUUCAGUUCACCUGAUGCGCGUACACCUUCAAACAGGUAAGCAAGGUUACGUCGGAUUACAUACUCCACAACAACCUGUAAUCCAGCAGAUCUUUAAAGAAGCCAUCUCUUGUAAAAUCUCUCUCUCUCUCUCUCUCUCUCUCUCUCUCUCGCUCUGCUAGAAUUAACAGGGAACUUCAACUCCACGCUCCCAAUGCUGAUAUUGAAGAAGCUGUCAAUGGGGCUGAACAAGUCCUUCAAAGGAUCAACCCUUCACAGGAAGGCCUGUCAUGAGAUUUGAAUUUGACCAUCUUGUGCAUUUAUGAAGAAGACCAAAAGCUGCAAAGGCAAACACUUCCAAUGGAUUUCUCACAGAUUACUUAAUCAUUCUUCAUCAGCUCUUCACAAUAUCAGCCCAAAAGCUUCCAGAUCUUCCUCUCUUGUGUGACACAUCUGCUCUCAGUCCUUUACUGCCAACCUCCAGUCUUAGCAUUUCUGCUUGUAUUCAUUUUUCCUCUACAUUCAUCACUCCAAUCUCUACUAUAAGCACUCCUGUAUAUAUAUAUAUAUAUAUACACAUAAUAAUAAUUAUUAUUAUUAACCAUUUAUUUGUUUUGCAUUUAUUCACAAUAGAAGCAAACAAUGAUUACAGGAUAUAUGUUUUUAAAGGUGAUAAUUGUAAAAUAUUGGAGCAUUGUUCUUAAUCAUUUUUGCCUAUUUGGUUGAUAAAGGGAAGAAAACAAUAUAUUUUCAACUGUAGCCUUGAUUAUUCUUUGGCAUCUUUUGUCAGGAUUUCUGUAAACAAAUUCCCUUUUUAUUUUUGAAUAUUAAACUUAUGUUUUUUGAAGGGAGUUUCUGUUGCAAUUUUGUUUGUUUUCACUUAGUUACCUCUAUGCAUUUUUAUUUUUUUAUCAACUUUUCUUUUUUUUCAUAGUGGAAUAAACUGGAGAGAGACUGUUCUGGGCACUAUGUUUAUCUGCGAAAAGUUUGACAUAUCAAUAAACACUGUAAAAUGACUAGACAAUGAGUGAUUGAUGUCAUGAUGUUUGUUUGUUUGUUUUCUAUUCCUAUAGUUCAACUGGUGGAUCUAAGAAUGGCAAGUUUUUAGGGUCCAUUUCCAUGAAACGUAGAUGUGAUAAAUUGUUUACCUUUAAUACACUAUAAAUACAUUGUAAAUAUUACAGAAGGAAAAUUGAGUAGUAGAAAAAUAUUGUGUUUAAAUAAUCUUCAGAGGUGUUUUUUUUAAGCAAAUGAAACAUUUUGACAUUUAUUUUUCACACAGUAUAUGCAAACUUUUGAGUUUAAGUACUGUACACUAAUAUUAGUGUAAACAAUGUAGCCUAUUCAAUACAAUGGGAAUCAUUAUACCUUCGUUAAAACACAAAACAAAAAAACACCUUUAAUCAACGUAUUUCUUGCUGCAUCAGGGUAACUGCAGCUUCUGUCCAUUCACUACAGGAACCCGGAAGCUCCCGGCAUAAAUGACCAUAUAUGUACAAGUUAGUGUGACGCCUCUGCUCAACUGGGUUGCCAUUGGCUUUGACGUUCCCUUGGCUCUCGCAGAACUCGCUGUGAUUGGACUAUCUUUUAACCCAAAUUAUAAACCGCUUAAUGUUGCAAAGUC